UACGUAGGGUGCAAGCGUUGUCCGGAAUUAUUGGGCGUAAAGAGCUCGUAGGCGGCUUGUCGCGUCGGGUGUGAAAACCCGCGGCUUAACCGCGGGCCUGCAUCCGGUACGGGCAGGCUAGAGUUCGGCAGGGGAGACUGGAAUUCCUGGUGUAGCGGUGAAAUGCGCAGAUAUCAGGAGGAACACCGGUGGCGAAGGCGGGUCUCUGGGCCGAUACUGACGCUGAGGAGCGAAAGCGUGGGGAGCGAACAGG
This 253-nucleotide ribosomal RNA is filed under the name uncultured bacterium. RNAcentral's name for it is "partial 16S ribosomal RNA". It matches the Rfam family "Bacterial small subunit ribosomal RNA", at positions 524 to 776 of the family's 1533-position model. The record is from RNAcentral.